GCCGCCGUAACUACGCGUAAACGUUCGCGUUUUUCGCGGGCGACGACGACGACGAGGUGUGUGGUGUGCGGUUUUUGUGUGUGUGUGUGUGUGUGUGUGUGUGUGUGUGUGUGUGUAUGUGCGUUUGCGUGUGUGCGUGUAACGCGAUAAGAUUUCGACUUUUGCGAAACGGCGUCGGUGCGUCCGGCGUGUCGUGUGCGCGCGCGUUCCGUGCGGCGCGCUUACCCGACGACGGAAUAACGGGCGAAAAAACGAAACGGCGCGGCGGCGAUGGCGGCAAACACCGUACCGACCGGUCGAAAGGUUGCUCG
This is a non-coding RNA of Cinara cedri, 311 nucleotides long. The record is from the annotation of a GenBank genome assembly. NCBI's taxonomy places the organism in Eukaryota, Metazoa, Arthropoda, Insecta, Hemiptera, Aphididae.